Small nuclear RNA from Bufo bufo (common toad), 193 nucleotides. RefSeq annotates it as U2 spliceosomal RNA. The record is from RefSeq and is a predicted model, not a curated record. Lineage: Eukaryota; Metazoa; Chordata; Amphibia; Anura; Bufonidae. The transcript has a single exon.
AUCGCUUCUCGGCCCUUUUGGCUAAGAUCAAGUGUAGUUAUCUGUCUUAUCAGUUUUAAUAUCUGAUACGUCCCCUAUCUGGGGACCAUAUAUUAAAUGGAUUUUUCGAACAGGGAGAUGGAAAAAGAGCUUGCUCUGUCCACUCCACGCAUUGACCUGGUAUUGCUAGUACCUCCAGGACGGUGCACCCCUU